Molecule: ribosomal RNA, 468 nt
Filed under: uncultured bacterium
Lineage: Bacteria
Description: partial 16S ribosomal RNA
Rfam family: Bacterial small subunit ribosomal RNA
Source: RNAcentral
GACGAACGCUGGCGGCGUGCUUAACACAUGCAAGUCGAACGGAAAGGCCCUGCUUUUGUGGGGUGCUCGAGUGGCGAACGGGUGAGUAACACGUGAGUAACCUGCCCUUGACUUUGGGAUAACUUCAGGAAACUGGGGCUAAUACCGGAUAGGAGCUCCUGCUGCAUGGUGGGGGUUGGAAAGUUUCGGCGGUUGGGGAUGGACUCGCGGCUUAUCAGCUUGUUGGUGGGGUAGUGGCUUACCAAGGCUUUGACGGGUAGCCGGCCUGAGAGGGUGACCGGCCACAUUGGGACUGAGAUACGGCCCAGACUCCUACGGGAGGCAGCAGUGGGGAAUAUUGCACAAUGGGCGGAAGCCUGAUGCAGCAACGCCGCGUGCGGGAUGACGGCCUUCGGGUUGCAAACCGCUUUCGCUUGUGACGAAGCGUGAGUGACGGUAAUGGGUAAAGAAGCACCGGCUAACUACGUG